RNAcentral lists this ribosomal RNA (270 nucleotides) under uncultured crenarchaeote. Its description in RNAcentral is "partial 16S ribosomal RNA". It matches the Rfam family "Archaeal small subunit ribosomal RNA", at positions 316 to 588 of the family's 1478-position model. Lineage: Archaea; Thermoproteati; Thermoproteota. The record is from RNAcentral.
CCAGGCCCUAUGGGGCGCAGCAGGCGCGAAAUCUCUGCAAUAGGCGAAAGCCUGACAGGGUUACUCUGAGUGAUUCCCGCUAAGGGGAUCUUUUGGCACCUUUAAAAAUGGUGCAGAAUAAGGGGUGGGCAAGUCUGGUGUCAGCCGCCGCGGUAAUACCAGCACCCCGAGUGGUCGGGACGAUUAUUGGGCCUAAAGCAUCCGUAGCCGGUUCUGCAAGUCCUCCGUUAAAUCCACCUGCUUAACAGAUGGGCUGCGGAGGAUACUGCA